UGGGGAAUUUUGGACAAUGGGCGCAAGCCUGAUCCAGCCAUGCCGCGUGCAGGAUGAAGGCCUUCGGGUUGUAAAGCUCUUUCAGGUGGAAAGAAAACGCAUAGGUUAAUACCUUGUGCGGACGACGGUACCAUCAGAAGAAGCACCGGCUAACUACGUGCCAGCAGCCGCGGUAAUACGUAGGGUGCAAGCGUUAAUCGGAAUUACUGGGCGUAAAGCGUGCGCAGGCGGUUAUGCAAGACAGAGGUGAAAUCCCCGGGCUCAACCUGGGAACUGCCUUUGUGACUGCAUAGCUAGAGUACGGUAGAGGGGGAUGGAAUUCCGCGUGUAGCAGUGAAAUGCGUAGAUAUGCGGAGGAACACCGAUGGCGAAGGCAGCCUCCUGGGCCAGUACUGACGCUCAUGCACGAAAGCGUGGGGAGCAAACA
This 427-nucleotide ribosomal RNA is filed under the name uncultured bacterium. RNAcentral describes it as "bacterial SSU rRNA". It matches the Rfam family "Bacterial small subunit ribosomal RNA", at positions 355 to 774 of the family's 1533-position model. The record is from RNAcentral.